AUGAAACUUUUAUGUUCUCACACUGUUUCAUUUAUCACUUUCCAGGACAACUCUUCUCCAUAUGGAUUAAAUGCUGGGAGGCUCUUUGCCUUGAUUUUUCUCUUUUUAGAGUCUCUACUGUGUAACAGUCGAUUAUGUGAUAUCAGCUUAUUCAUCAGCCCUCCUAAUGGGUGCACCCUCUCAAUUACAGGCACGGCAUCGUCAUGGGAAGAAGGCCCUGUGCUGGGCGGUGCAGCAUCCGGUCUGUUCCUGUCCUCCUCCAGGAUUGUUCUUGUGAAUUCUUUCAGAAUAACGUACAGCUCACUGAGGCCUGUGACCACAUUCACAGAGAGUAGGAUGAAGAUCGCUGGGCUCCAAGGUGUGGGCUGAGUGUCUGCUGCACGCAGGGCCUGUGCUGACAACAGGAACCUACCUGCCCUGGCCAAGCUGCCAGACACGGUGGGAGAGACCACAGUAGGUGCGGACACACGGGCAGACCCCUGAGAAGACAGGAGCGGCUUCCUGGGGAGGCGGCUUCUAGAACGAGCCCUGCAGGAUAAGGACAGGUAAGAACUCCAGUCAUUGAAAACACUUUGUCCCGGGGAACACAGGGCAGGAGGGCAGCCUGCUGGCCGGGCCAGGUUUUGUUGUUGCUGUUGAGGAUGAGCUUUUAAAUCAGCCUGGAAACUUUGACAGAGGUUGGCUUCUAGUUUCUUUACCAUCUGGACAUCUGUUGCAGUUCAUAUAUUUUUUUAAGAUUUUUUUUUAAUAUAGACCAUUUUUAAAGUCUUUGUUGACUUUGUUACGAUACUGAUUCUGCUUUAUGUUUUGAUGUUUUGGCCAUGAGGCACAUGGGAUCUCAGCUCCUCAACCAGGGAUUAAACCCUCACCCCCUGCACUGGAAGGCAAAGUCUUAACCACUGGACAGCCAGGGAAGUCCCACAGUUCAUGCGUUUUGAUACCAUCCGUCAGUAUGUUGACGGUCCCCUCUUAGGAAGUAGGGCCAGGUGCGGGCUGAGCCGUGUGGUGCACAUGCCUGGGAGCCUGUACUGGGCUGGACCAGAAUCCUGGGGCUGAGGUCCCCACAGAGGGAUGGAGAACCACAGUUUCCUUCAUGACACUUGGCUCGUGUUUCUGCACAGUUUUCCAUAGUUCUGCCAGGGACCUGGCCAGUGCUGGUUCAUAGGGAGCUCUGUCAGUUCAGAUGUGCAGGCCUUUUACACAGGAGCCGCUGUGAGAGCCAGGAGCGCCCCCGCUGAUUUAUACACGUUGAUUCCUUUGACUUUAUUAAGUCAUAUUUGACACAGAUGCAGGUCCUAUGUAAAGAUGUUAUAUUUGUAUGUAUGAAUUUAGAGGUAUAAUAAUCAAGCAAAUGCUCUUGAACUUGCUGUGAACACCAAAACUAGAAUAUCACCAAUGUAUCUGAGACUACCCUGUGCCCCUCCCCUACCCUAUCCCCAUCUCCCCUCCAGAGGAUAUUGUUUUUCAUUAUUUUGCUCCUCUAUAAGUAUUUAAUAGCUUCACCAUAUAUAUGUGUACAGGUAAGUGAUAUACCAUGUCUUUUUGCUUGAUUGUAAGCUUUAUAAGUACUGUCUUUUGUGAUGUCAUUUCCCACUCAACUUCUGUUUCCAAGACUCAGCCGUGAGGUUGCCAGUGGCUGGAAUUCGCUCAUUUUUCCCUGAGCACUGUUCCUUUGUGAGUCGCUACCACAUUCUGCGUAUGUAUCCUUCUCUAGCUGAGCAUGUGCACCAGAUUCCGUGCAUUCUUUUCUCUGCAGCGGGCCCAGGCUUCUCUGCCCUGUUCUGUGACACUGGAACUGGACCCUCUAAACACUUUUCUUUUGCUAGCUUUGUCACUAGAAGGUUCUGGACAGACACUGCAGAAGGAAGGGCUCCGCUUCCUGGCUCUGGCGCUCUCCUUCUGGCUUCUAUGUUGUGGCUGCUGGUGGUAUGGGUGAGAGCCAGGGCGCCCCGCUGAUUUAUACACGUUGAUUCCUUUGACUUUAUUAAGUCAUAUUUGACACAGAUGCAGGUCCUAUGUAAAGAUGUUAUAUUUGUAUGUAUGAAUUUAGAGGUAUAAUAAUCAAGCAAAUGCUCUUGAACUUGCUGUGAACACCAAAACUAGAAUAUCACCAAUGUAUCUGAG
This is a long non-coding RNA of Bos grunniens (domestic yak), 2124 nucleotides long. The record is from Ensembl. NCBI's taxonomy places the organism in Eukaryota, Metazoa, Chordata, Mammalia, Artiodactyla, Bovidae.